Molecule: long non-coding RNA, 1953 nt
Filed under: Manihot esculenta (cassava)
Lineage: Eukaryota; Viridiplantae; Streptophyta; Magnoliopsida; Malpighiales; Euphorbiaceae
Description: long non-coding RNA (MESC_LNC002621)
Source: RNAcentral
GAAUCCCAUACAUAACAACAUAUACAUGAUCUGUAAAAAAUUUUUCUUUUCUCUUAUCCAAGCAAAACCUGUGCAUGCACAAAAUCAUACAUAAACCCCACACUGGAGUCCUCAUCAAAAUACUCCAAUGGGGUAUCAUCAUCAUACAUAUCAGCUUGGAUAAUCAUGGUCAUUAACAUCAUUACUCAUUAAACACUCUGUACAUAAUGGGGAUUCACACACCUCUAGGUCAAGCACUACUAUAAUCCUCAAUACAUCAUCAAAUCAUUCAUUACAUUACAUGGUCAUAAAUACUCGUUACAUCAUGUUCAUGUCCACUACUAUCUAUUACAACAUACAUGACUUAACUUCACUCUAGCCGACUUCCCGAUCUAUCCUGUACCUGCAACUCUGGGGAUAAAGGGAGUGGGGUGAGCUACUAGAGCCCAGUGAGCAGAAUAAUAAAAUAUCAAUUUAAAUCAUGCUUUCAUGUAUGCGCCAUAACACAAACAUUUCACAACAAGGAUGAACUUGUCACCAUUUAGCCCCUAUCUUUCUUACUUAUACAUGCCGGGGGCGUAGAGCCGUAGCAGGCACACCCGGACUACCAUAAUCAAUCAUAGUGCCAGGGGCGUAGAGCCGUAGCAGGCACACCUGGACUCACAUAGGCUAUCAUGACAUAAAAGGGCUAAUGGAUCAUUCAACAUUCAUCCACAUCAACAACAAGGUAUGCAAUGCAACAUAUUCGUGAAUUCUAAUGCAAUCAACCUGAUAUAUCUCAUGGCAUUCAUGAUGCGUGAAUCAUGCUAAAACAUUUCAUUAAUUUGCUUUAAAACUUAAAGUUUAUUCCACUCACCUCUGGCUAGCUCUGAAGAGACUCUGAAGCAGCUGGCUCACUGCUGGGGGUCUCGGUUCCUCAGGUCCGAACCUACACAGGUGGACUCAAAUGAGGGACCAAACAUACCUGAAUAUGACUCUAAAAUACUCCCCAAAAACCCCCUAAAACAUCCUGAAAACAUCACAUGAAAACAUGCAAGAAAUGGCUGAACAGGGCACUUUCGGCGGCAGGUUCGGCGGCCGAAAGUCCCACUGCAGCCGAAAGUCAUGCAGGUUCGGCGGCACUUUCGGCGGCCGAACCUCCCAGACAGAGACGAAACUUGAGUUUCGGGGGCAGGCUUCGGCAGCCGAAACUGCCUUCACAAGGGGGUUCGGCGGCCGAAAGUCACUUCGGCGGCCGAACCUGAGUUUCUGCCGAAGGGCAGAAACUUGGCUUCCUUGUGUCCACAGCCUCCAAAACACCUCAAAACAUGCAUAAACUUGUUUCUACACAUGCAUACACAUCAUGCAUCACACCUAGGGGUCACAAACUAUACUAUACCCCAACUACAACACUUCAAACAACACAUUUCCAACAUACAUUGUUCAAAUCACAUCAUAAACCCAUAAACCUAACAACAAGCCUAAACAUGCAUUCUACCCCAUCAACUUGCAUAAAACUUUCAUAAAACAUAAAAGAAGCAUAGAUCGAAGCUUACCUCUUGAAGAUCGAGAGGAAGAACGACCCUAGCUCGGAAAAUGGAGGGAUUUAGCUCCAAGACUUCCAAGCUCCAAAACUUGUUUCAAAAGCUUAAAUCUUCAAAACCAAGGGAAAACAAGUGAAAAUCUUGAAAGAUUUAGAGGAAGAACAUCAAAAAUGGGUGAGGGGCGGCGGAAAGCUCACCUUGGCCGAAAAUGGGGAAAAACUCGCCCGUUUUCGGCUAAGGGACCCUUUUAUAGUGGCUGGCCAGACCACGUUCGAGGGCCGAAAGUGCCUCCGCAUGCAUGCAAGGUUCGGCGGUCGAACAUGAGGUUCGGCGGCCGAACUUGGACUUCCCUCACUCAUGCUUUCGGGGGCCUAACGUGCCUCCAAAACACAUGCAUGUUCGGCGGCCGAACUUGAUUUUCGGCGGCCGAACCUGGGUUUUUCCUCCAAAG